This 232-nucleotide ribosomal RNA is filed under the name uncultured bacterium. RNAcentral describes it as "partial 16S ribosomal RNA". It matches the Rfam family "Bacterial small subunit ribosomal RNA", at positions 524 to 751 of the family's 1533-position model. The record is from RNAcentral.
UACGAAGGGGGGCUAGCGUUUGUUCGGAAUUACUGGGCGUAAAGCGCGCGCAGGCGGUCUUCCAAGUCAGUGGUGAAAGCCUGGAGCUCAACUCCAGAACUGCCAUUAAAACUGUUAGACUUGAGUACGAGAGAGGUGAGUGGAAUUCCCCAGUGUAGAGGUGAAAUUCGUAGAUAUUUGGGAAGAACACCAGUGGCGAAGGCGGCUCACUGGCUCGUAACUGACGCUCAGG